GUCUUUUUGAAAUAAUUUAAAGUCUAAUCUGCCCACUGAUAAAAUUAAAGGGCUGCAGUAUAAUGACUGUACAAAGGUAGCAUAAUCAAUAGUUUUUUAAUUGAAAACUUGUAUGAAAGAUUUGAUGAAAUAUAAACUGUCUCUAAUUUAUAAAUAGAAUUUUAUUUUUUAGUAAAAAAGCUUAAAUAAAUUUAAAAGACGAGAAGACCCUAUAGAGUUUUAUAUUUAAUUUUAUUAAAAAAUUAUAUAAAAAUUAAUAUUUAAAUAAAAUUAAAUAUUAUAUUGGGGUGAUAGAAAAAUUAAAUUAACUUUUUUUAAAAAUUAAACAUAAAUAAAUGAUUAUAUGAUCCAUAAAUAAUGAUUAUAAGAAGAAAUUACCUUAGGGAUAACAGCGUAAUAUUUUUUUUUAGUUCAAAUAAAAAAAAAAGUUUGCGACCUCGAUGUUGGAUUAAGAUAAAAUUUAAAUGCAAAAGUUUAAAAGUUUUGAUCUGUUCGAUCAUUAAAAUCUUACA
This 512-nucleotide ribosomal RNA is filed under the name Melanargia lucasi. RNAcentral describes it as "partial 16S ribosomal RNA". The stretch from base 385 to 512 matches the Rfam family "Archaeal large subunit ribosomal RNA", at positions 2542 to 2669 of the family's 2987-position model. Lineage: Eukaryota; Metazoa; Arthropoda; Insecta; Lepidoptera; Nymphalidae. The record is from RNAcentral.